GUGCUUCGGUAGCUCAGUUGGUAGAGCACUUGCCCGCAAAAGGCAAAGGUCCCGAGUUCGAGUCUCGGCCCGGCACA
Molecule: transfer RNA, 77 nt
Filed under: Schistocerca americana (American grasshopper)
Lineage: Eukaryota; Metazoa; Arthropoda; Insecta; Orthoptera; Acrididae
Description: tRNA-Leu
Rfam family: tRNA
About the family: Transfer RNA (tRNA) molecules are approximately 80 nucleotides in length. Their secondary structure includes four short double-helical elements and three loops (D, anti-codon, and T loops).
Source: RNAcentral